This 1553-nucleotide long non-coding RNA is filed under the name Sus scrofa (pig). Its description in RNAcentral is "lncRNA (ENSSSCG00065065639.1)". Lineage: Eukaryota; Metazoa; Chordata; Mammalia; Artiodactyla; Suidae. The record is from RNAcentral.
CAGUGACUCCACACCCAUACUUUUGAAAAUAGUCACUUUUAAACUAUAACUAUUUGUUUUGAUAUAUCUGUUGGGACUUUGAAAAAUAGAAUGAGUAAAUUAAGGUGUGAAACAGAAAGUCUGGUGUGACAGAUUUGCAGCUGUUUUCUAAAGCAACUUGCUUUUUAUGGCAGGUUCUUCCAGCAUCAAGAUGGCACAUCUGGAGUUUCAGCACCUCUCCAAAAGUGGUAUGACAUCUGAAUUGACCUGUUAGUUAUGAAUAGGCUUUCUACAGUGUUUUGAUGAAAGAAGUUGUGACCCUGGAGAAGGAAGAAGCCAUUUUUGUAAACAGCAAAAAACCUUCUUCAUCUGCUGUCACCAUCCAUGCAACCAGAUCUCCUGCCUUCCUGGACCUUCAUGCUUCUCCCUAACUCCAUGGAAACUUUGUGGAUCCCACACACCCUUGGAGUGGCCAUGUGUCUUGGAUUCCUGGUUUUCAUCUUCUCCCCUUUGGUCUUCAUGGGUCUGCUGCUUUUCUCUCUGAGCGGUCUUCCCUCCUUGGGUCUGGGGGACUCUGGCCUCACUGGAAGUUGGCAGAACCUUGUCCAGAACUCUGUGGUGAGUUUGUUCUUCUACUGACCUUUUCUGCCAGUUCCGCUGCUCUCCAGUUGCCUCUAUUAGAGGGAGCCAAGCAUUUAUUUGUCCAUCAAGCAUUUUAUUUUUGUAGUUCCUGAAUCUUCCAGUUCAGUGCAUGCAUUCCAGGCCAGAGGCUGCCUAAAUUACUUUUGCACAAACACUGUCCUCCACACUCUCCUUCCUGGCUGUGAACUGAAAGACUGUUUGUUGGGAGUGGGCAUGUCUAGGAACAGAACUCAGAGGGGAAAACUUGCGAUUUGGGUCAACCACGUGCCAGCCUUACCUAGUUUGUGUGCUUCGAUGUGCAAAGACCUCCUCAGGUCAGAAAGAAUUCGUCUCCUCAUUGCAAAUUAAAGUGAAUACAGAGAAACACUUUUGCUUAGAAGGGUUACUGGUUUCUGGGGCAGGCUGCAAACAUAGUCAUCAUUCCCAACCUCUCCUUUUGCAACAGGAGAUUUCGCCUCUCCAAUAAUGAGAUAAGUCCAUUUCUCCAAACCUUGAAUCUGGGCUGGGUCUGUGACUUUCCUUGGCAGAUGGAAGGCAGUAAAACAACUGUGUCUGAGCUAAGACCCUGGCCUCAGGAGACCUUGUGUGCUUCCCCUCUUUCUCUUGGAGCACUGCCAGGUGUCGUGGGAACAAGCCUGAACAGCCAGAUGGAAGAUAAAAUACUACGUGGACCAGAGCAGAGUCACUCCCAUUUCCCAAGCAUGGGCCCAGACAUGUGAAAGAGGUUAACCAAGACCAGUCAAGCCUGGCCCAGAUUGGUAGAAUCAUCUAUAUGUCUGUAGACUCAUGAGCCACACAAUGAAGGGUUAUAUUUUAAAGUGCUAAAUUUUGGGCUUGUUUGAGACUAAAUCAAGUUAAGUUAGAAAGACAAAUAUCAUUUGAGAUCAUUAAUAUGUGGAACCUAAUAAAAAUGGCAUAAAAGAACUUAUGCA